Molecule: non-coding RNA, 8302 nt
Organism: Callithrix jacchus (white-tufted-ear marmoset)
Lineage: Eukaryota; Metazoa; Chordata; Mammalia; Primates; Cebidae
Source: RefSeq, a predicted model, not a curated record
GGGGGGAAAGAAGCCGAUGAAUAAUUUUGCUAUUUUUUAAAAUACUGGCCGCCAUCAUCAAGCAACGAGCAGCAGCAGAAGCGUUGAAGGGAGAGGAGGCAUCGGGACAGGCCCCUCUUAGAGAGGAUUUAUAUCUAGUUGGAAAAAAAAAAGAAAAGAAAAAGAAGAAAAAGAAGAAAAAAAUUGUCAAGCCCCCGAACUGAAGGUUACGAGCGGCCCGUCAGCAGCCCACAUGUAACCGAACUGUCGUGUUUCAUGGCUUUUUGCCACUCCAGCUGUCAAUCAAAGCCCGGAAUGUCAAGGUAGUGAAUGAAUGAUGGUUGAUGAUGAUGAAGAGGAGGAAUCUUUCAGACCCGUUUUUUUUCUUCCAGUAAAACUCCGCGAGGGGUUUCUGCUUCUUGAAUUUUUUCCUCCCCCCUCCCCCCUUUUAUAGCUUUGCCCCCGCGGUAUCGAUAAUAUGAUCCUCUCUCUUUAAAGUAUUGUUCAAAAAAAGCAGGGAGAAAAAUCAAGAAAAAAAAAUAUGAAUAGUUUGCAAAAAUUGGACUUCCUCCCCCCCCUUUCCUGGUAGGUAUUUUGUCUCUCCCUCUCUCUCUUUCUCGCUCGCUCGCUCGCUCUCACUCGCGCUCGCUCUCUCGCGCUCGCUCUCUCUCGCUCUCUUUCUCUCUGGGAGAUGAGUGAGUGUCAGUAGGUGUUGGCAGGUUGGCUGCUGCCUGGCUUAUUGAAGAGCCUCAGUUUGGCGGCGCGGGUCGGCGGCGGGAGAACGAAAUGACGGAACCCGGAAGUCGUGGUGGCCAUAGCCCGUCGUACGGCGGAGACACAUCCCGGGAGUGGGGAGCGGGAGCGAGGAGGAGCGCGCCGCGCAGUGCCUCUGAUAUGCAACGAGUGCGAUCGGACAGCCCGGGCUAGAGGGGCGGGGGAGGCGGGGGGCGGGAGGGGGAGGGGAGGCUCGGGCAGGGCGGACCCGAGCAAAUCAGCGAGCCUGCUUCUCCACGGGGUUGGGGGGCGGCUGGGGAAGGAAGGGGAGAGUGUGUAUGUGUGAGUGUGUGUGCGUGCGCGCGUGAGUGUGUUGUGCGCGCGCGCGCGAACAGGGAGAGAGGGAGAAGGGGAGAGAGAGAGAGCGGAGAGAAGAGGACAGGGAGAGCGCAGAGAGGAAAACUGCAGAAAACCACAGGGAAAGUACGGUACCGCCUCAGAUCUUUUCAUUUUUUAAAAAAACUUACUUCUAGUUCAUUUUCCCAUUACUCCCGGCUCCUGCCUAACUGGGUCGUGUCGGGCACGUUUUCAUGGCGCUCUCGCUUUUGUUCUUUUUAAUUCCGCGGCCUCCCUCUCUGCCCGCGGAUUACAGCACCCCGAAGGCUUCCUGCUAAGGUCCAAGGGCAGCAAGCUCUGCAGACGGUACCACUGCCGGGCUAAAUUUUUUAUUAAGUGGCACUUUCUUUUCUACGCAGAUCCAGCAACCUUAUCAAUACUCAUUUUUUCCAGAACCAGAAGAGACCAGCUUAACUCAGAGCACACUCCCUCCAAGCAGCGCGGACAAGGGGCCACCCCGAGAGUCUUUGGGGGCUCAGCAGCGUGGGGAGGGAGGAAAUGAGGAGCGAGUCAUUUGGGUCCGAUGUAGCCAAGGGCGUGUGUGUGUGUGUGUGUGUGUGUGUGUACGCGCGCGCGUGCGCGCGACUCAUGUGCGUCUCCGAAGUGGAUCUCACUCAGAGCUGGGAAGCACAGGAGGAAAAGACCGAGAGAGAAAAAGAGGGGGAGAAAGAAGUUGCCGGGCGAAGGAGGAGUGGCCGGCGCUCACAGCCCAGCUUUGUUGUGGUCGCCCGAGGCGCAGCGGCGGUAACGCCUGCUAAUGGCUGUGUUAAUUACACAAGGGCGAUUUCGCGGGGUCAGGGACUAGGGACCGGCUCCGUAAGAACUUUUCCAAAAAGGAAAAGAGGAGGAAAGGAAGAGAACUACUCCACACCAUAUGGGUGGAAACUAGCUGUGGCCGAUGCCUCGUCCUACUUGGCCGGAGCUGCACCAGGCUUUACCACUGCGCGGCUGGUUUCCCGGCGGCCGCGCGUCACUCACGCCGAGCCCUGAGCUGGGGGCGGAGCCACGGUCACCCCGCGCGCGCCGCGCAGCCCAGCAGCCCCCGCCGCCGCUCGGCCCCGGUGGCACGGCCCGGCCGGGACAGGAGCUGGAAGCGCACCCUCUCCUCAACUUCUAGCCAUCGCUCUCCCAGUCCCUGGCCCAGAGAGUCGAAAGCGGAUUGUUGUUCUCCAACAGCCGCGUCCUUCUUCAACUUUAAACCCAUCUGGGAAGUAGAGAGUAGAAUAUCUUCCGCGCGCCGCGUCUAUCAGACUUUCCCGCGGACGGAGGGUGGGGUGGGGAAGGUUGAUUAGAGAGAAUAAAGUACUCUGUGUGUGUGAGUGUGUGUGUGCGCGCGUGCGCGCGUGUGUGUGAGAAAGCGAGAGAGAGCGCGGGGAGGAGGGCUGGUGGGAGGGCUUUUUUUUUUUUUGCCCCCUUUCCAUCUUCCCUGCUUCACUGUAAGCUUUCGAGCAACGCAAACUAGGCUAAGAUUGCAGCCUGCGGAGACUCCAAGCAGAGUCGGCGAAAUUUGGCCUCGUUUUAAUAGGGCUGAGGAAUGAACUCCGGAGGUCAAUAAAGCCCUCCAAAAAUGAUGAAUGAUUGAGCACCUGUGAUGAUGAUAGUGAUUACCAGAGCAAUUAAACAGUUUGAUUAAAUGAGCCAUCAUAACAAUGAUGUCUGCGGGAAAUCGGCCCUCACAUAUAAAGAAAGAUAGUGCGAAGGGGCUGGCAGAGGCGCGGUUAGCGCGACGCCGGGGAGAGGGGCUGCGGGCCGUGAGGUUUCUGCCGGGUGGCCCGAGCAGGGACGGCCAAGCUCACGGAGCUUAAGGGAGGAGAAUGUAACCCAGGUUUUCAGCCACUGUUUUUGCCCGGCUUCAAGCCUGCUAGAGCCGACGGGUAGGAAAUCUGAACGUUGGGGGGAGGGUACUUCCUCCACCUCCUCUUUCUUUUCUAGAAGAACUCCACGAUUAAAAGUAUCCUUAUUUGUUGCUGAGUUGCUCGUCGACAUUUAAGAGAAGCCAUCUAUUACUUUUCAGACAUCCUUUCUCCAUAAACAUCGGCUUAUCCUUGUGAGCUGCCCUUGACCUUCCCAGCAGUGUAACCAGCAGCUCUGAAAGUUGGCCUACAAGUAAUUGCAUUGGCUUCCUCACCUGUUAACUUUACUCGCUCUUCCUAGCUGGGAUGAACAGAGGGAAGGGGACUUUUUUGUUUGCUUUUGUUGGUGUUGGUGGUGGUCGUGGUGGCUUUUGGUCCUUUGGUCCCUUCCCAGUUCAGGUUUCUACCGUAAAUUUUUCUCCACCUCCUCCCAUUAAUAACGUUUAAGCACCCCACAAUUUAUUUUUAAAAUAAAAUGGAGUAAAAUUAUUAGACAUUUUUUCUUUUGCCCAAUUUUCUUCUUAUUUCUCCCAAUUUUAGCUUCUUCACCAUCUCGCAGAAAGGAAUUCAAUAAAUAGCCCUCUAGCGCUAUCUGGCGGGACUCCAAACACAGCGUGCGCUCGCUCUUGCUGUUCCUCCUUCCCUCGCUCUCUUCCUUCCUCUCUCCUUCUUUUUCUUUCGUCUCUUCCGCUAUCUCGAUUGUUUUUCUCUCUUUUCUGUCCUCCUGCGGCCUCUUGUCUAGUUCCUACCCCAACUUGCAGCUCAGGCGGCUUGGAAAGACCCAGCCAGAGACUAGUAACCCUCACAACCGCGGGAUGCUCUGGCCACGGAGCUGUCUCUUCUGAUCCCUCCUCCCCUUACCCAACGCGGCUCACACACAUCCUUUGCCUUCGAUUAGCAUCUUGAAGUUGCAUAGCGUGUUGCUUAAGUCCCAGCGUCUCAGCUGGCGCUGGUUUGGAGGGGCUUAAAACCACAUUCGUGAAGUUUGGAGGAAAGAAAUCAGACACUGGAAUUCAGGGCUAGUGGAGCCCAGCUAAGUUUUAGGUCAGAAGGCCGAGUCUCAGUGCGAGUUUGAGGAAGGGUCGGGGCUUCACAGGGGUGGGAACAGCACGCCGCGGCGCCUAGCCUGCGAGAGGGAGUCGGACUGGGGGUGCGAGGGGUCCUCCACCGCCUCCGCCCAAUCCGUACCUCACAAUGGACCGCUCGAUUUUGUAUCUUAGGCCUGCUCAGGAUUGUUUUUUCCUUCAAUUAAUAAGCUUUAUCUUAUUUCCCCCUCCCCCCGUCUCCACCAAAUUUGGAGAGGAGAGGGUAAGAACUGGAAAACUCACAGGGCACAGAGAAACCAACGGUAAGACUGCGGGAGGCAGCGAGCGUGGGGAAGCGAUACUGAACUAUCUCCUCCCCAGUUCCUGCAAUUUGCAGGUCAUUGUCUUUCUUACUUGUGGCUUUUAUUCUUUUUUUUUUUUCUUUUUUUCCAGUAGCCUGUAAACAAGGUUGUGUAGGGAGGUCAGAGGGGAUAGGGCUGUGGGAGAGAUUCGAUUCAGACUAGAUGCUUUAGAUUUAGACUCGGCUGUAUCCAUACUUUCUUAAAAUUCUCCUGUGCGAGGGCUCUCCCUCUCCUUUCCUCCUCCUCCUCCGCCUCCUCCGCCUCCUCCUCCUCCGCCUCUUCUUCUUCUUCUUCUUCUUCUUCUUCUUCUUCUUCUUCUUUCUCUCUCUCUCUCUCUCUCUCUCACACACACACACACACACAGCCCGAGAGAAAAUUUCAAUCUUUGAGCAAAUCUCUUCCAUCUAGUCCUUGAAACAGAAGAAAGGACAUAGAAACUGAAGGAGAGUUAUGAUUGAAUUUUCUAAAAUUUAGUUUUGACUUUUCAAAGUAAAAGUGAGGACCAUAUUCCCAAUAUAGACCCAGAAGGUGGCUAUUUCAGGUGAGGGGACCUCAGCCUGUGACGUCUAUGAUCAACCAGACAAAGACCCCUUCCUAAAUCUGGAGUUCCACCCCGGACCCGUGGCAAAAAUGGAAUACAAGGGAGGGGAAGGAUGGCAAAAUAGCGGGUUCUGUUUUCCAAGAAUUGUCCCCCACCUCCAUUGCGGAAGGAAAAAAGCACAGUUCAGGUGUGAUUAAUUGGAGACUGUUAUUAGGUCAUCAUUAGCCAAGGUACAAAUAAUUGCAGCACAUUUUUACUUAAAAUUGACCAGCCCCAGAGUGAUAGAUCGAUUUGGAGUAUAAAAAUGAUGUAUCAAAACAUCAAUGUCGAUUAUUUGAAAUAUUGUAGUCGAAUUUUUUUUAUUGCUUCAUCGGUUAAGUGUCUGAAAGUGCAGUGUUCAAACAUAUAUUUAUGUUGUCAAUACUGUCAGAACUGUCAGUUUUACUAUACCAGAUUUGUACUAUAUUUCAAAUAUGCUCAUUUACAUAAAAUGCCCACCCUAGGAUUUCCCUCCCUACCCCCACCCCAUCUCUGGAAAAUCCGUGUCAGUUUCUUCAAAGGUUUCGGCAAUCUUUGCCUAAGCUAAAGUGUGCACUGCUUCUUUUACUCGAUUUUCCACAUCGGAUUACAUGUCUUUUUCACCAUCUCUAACUUUCAAAGAGAUCCUUCUUCCUUUCUCUCCAACUCUGCCUACUCUAACCUCUUCUCCAAAAUAGUAUUGAAACACUUGGAAAGCUUUGAAUUUAAAUAUCCACAUCCCAGCUCCAAAUAUACCAUUGGAAUAAAAAAAAACAAAAAAACGGAAAACCGGACUUGAGUACACUUGGCCGAACUCCGGUAAACCAGGCUUCGCCAGACAGACAUUCUCAUACGGUCAGGGUCCAUCAUCAAAUUAACUGGCAGAUUGAAAUCUUCCAGGGAAAAUGAAUUUGGAAAUAGAAAUACCUUUUCUUUCUUUUGACUUAAAAGCCUCGAUGGUAGAAAAAGAAAUAAUACUUACAAAUGAUCGGCACGUUUUAACUUUAAAAGCUUUUGAACUCAAGCGAAAGACACCAGUUGGAAGCAGAAUUGACAGUUUUAAUUUUACCCAUUUUCACCUGGCAUAUCAGAUCAGAGGCAAUCAUUUAUUUUAUGGGGUGUGGAGGGGAAAGGAAGAUAGAAUGCUAGAAUCCGCUGAAGUCUCUGUCCUACAAAUCUCAGAGAAAUUAGACUUACGGAAACACAAACAUUCCAUGGCUCCAUACUCUCAGUUCAGAUGAAUCGAAACAUAUAACUCCACAUUCUCCCCAAUUUUAUGUUAUUUAUUUAUUUUUUCAGGGUUUAAUAGGGAAGGCAGCCAAGUCUGAUAGGAAAGACAAGGCCACUCCUGGAUUAGCUGUGAGGAUGUGUUUUAAUUUCCAUAACACUGAAGCAGUUUCUGUAAACCUUUUGAUGUAUUUAAAUAAGUCUAUUUGGACAUUUAAAGAAGCUACACAUAUAAACAUAGCUUGGCUUUUUGCCGUCAAUCCCAGCAUUAAAAAACAUUCAUAAUCUAACUGAGCAGCUUUUUCAUAUCCAUCCUACUCUCAAAUAAAUAAAGAGAAGUGCAAACCAAAAGAAAGUUUCCAGCGUGCAUCUGUACGUCUUCGUGUGUGAGUUUAUAAACAACUUCCAGUCCGUACUGGGGUAUUACCUCCCUCCUGCCACACACCCCAAAGCAGAGGCAUGGAGGGAUUGCCCCCAGAGAGCUGUGUUUACUUAGGUUUUUUUUCCCCGCCGCCAUGUAUGACAAACGUUACUUCAAGAAAUUCAUCAGCCUUCUACAGAUACUUCCAGUUUUGCUGUAAUGAUCUGCAGAAGAGAACUGCCAUCACUUUCUCACAUCCCAAGGUGUUGCAGGAACUCAGAGAGAGGGGAGAGUGGCUGAAAGGCUUAAUUACCGGAGGCGAAGGAGGGGCGCGUGGCGGGGUACUGAAUUAGAGGGGAGUGAAGAAGGAAGGUCCUUUACUAAGCUUGUACCUGGGGAAAGCUUUGAGUCGCUUCUCUGCGAAUAUUUGGAAAAGGUAUUUUUAAAAUGCCUUUAAGGCAAAGUGAUACCCUUGUGUAAUAAUUAGCUCAGACAAUAAAAAUAAUUGGAAAAUCAGUUGGAAUUUCUGAGUUUUUAAUUACGUUUAAUUUUGUACUAAGCCGUAAAAUUACGAAUGCCCCUCAAUUAAACACUCUCCCCUUGUAAAGCAUUUAACAACAAUUAUUCCUUAAUCAGUCUGAAUGUGAGUCACAAAUGGUGCUUUUCCACAUCAAAGGGACGUCCUUCCACGUUACCUUUUAGUCAUAAGUAAGAGGAUUAAUUCCUAUAAUUAAAGGGAUAAAUAUGUGCAUAAAUAUAUCUCUCACCCUCUCCUUAAAAAACAAAACAAAACACUUUCACUCUGUGUGAUACGUGGCCGGCUAUGGUAGGAUAAGUGUUUUUAAUUGUCUGUCUCUGCCCGGCAUCCCUAUGCUGACGAGUGACUGGAACGGAGGAGACGCCGCGCAAAGCGCAGGGCCCCAGAGGGACACAGGCGCACACACGGGUCAGACGAGGCGCAGAGCUCGGGCCCGGGACUCCACCAAUUGCAGUGCGAUCCUCCCGGGACAGUAACCCACCUCCCAUCUUGCCCCUGCCCUGCGCAGCAAGAGAGUUGUCUCCCUCUCGGUCAGCUUGUCCACAAGAGCCGGGUCCCUGCCCUAAGCCCCAGCUCCAGGUUGACUCUUCAGGCUACAAAUAAAAAUUGAGCGUGACCUUUUAAAACUCCCGUGUGAAUAUCUCAUUUACCUAAUGACUUUAUGUCACCUAGGAAGAAGGUCAAUUUCCUCUUAACCUUUUCCCCGCUGCUGCAGUAAGCAUUCUUCCCUAAUCAAUGGUGGCUGGAAUAAUCAAUUCCCAUUUUAUGAUCGCUGACAAACUCAAUCUCAGGGCGGGGUGUGAGAGCGGGGUUGGUGGGGCAGGCUCGGGCCGGGACAGAGGUCUCUCAGCGAACGCCCAGCUCCGCCCGGCGCCAAGGGAAGCCGCUGUCUCUUCCGUCGAGUUCUGAGACCUUGGCAAACUUCCCUCCCCCAACCGCCGGCGUGACUUCUGAGUUGUCACUAAUCCGAACCUGAUAUUCACCAGAGCUCCUUCGGUCACCGACAACGCUCCCCGCUGCUGCGGCGGCCUCCCGCCCGCCCUCCUCGGCGUGUUUUCAUUUCAAAGUCUGCGGGCAGGGAUUGCCCCGACCCAGUGUGUGCCUGUGCGCGCGCGCGCGAACGCGCGCGUGUGUGCGUGGUUUCAUUUAAAUUUUAAAAAUCAUUUUUGCCUUCUUCAGCGAGUAUCUCAGCACUUUCUCCGUGUCUCAGGCUGACUAACUUUGCAUAAACAAAACAACAACAGAAGCUCAUAGUGGGUGAAAUCCUGCGGGGGAAAUGAAGACAACC